Molecule: long non-coding RNA, 296 nt
Filed under: Sorghum bicolor (sorghum)
Lineage: Eukaryota; Viridiplantae; Streptophyta; Magnoliopsida; Poales; Poaceae
Description: long non-coding RNA (SBIC_LNC000103)
Source: RNAcentral
GCUUUGUUUUAUGCCUUCCUUUAAUUUAAUCGAGGACCAGUGAGGAAACAGAAGACAGAAAAACAUAAUCUGCACAAAUUCCAACAAACUAGCGGUAAUCACACCCAGGCAACCAGGUUGGAGCAGCCAGGCGCUCGUUUUUCGUUGGCCUGGGUGAGGCCGCCGAUGCCUGGCUCAGGCACGUAUCCAAGGUCUCGAACCAAACGCAUCACAGGCAGCGUCCAGGUAGGUGACAGGCCAGGCAAGUUUGUCCCUGGCUACUAUGAACCAAACAGGCCCGAAUUGCUGGGCAAUCC